UGGCCGUAGUUUAAAAGUUUUUGACAGGUACUAGGGACAAUAUUCUCUACUAUUCCGAUAUAUGUCGUUAGAAAGAAACAAAAUGAAACGUAGAAGGGUGCUAAAGAGUGUUUAUUUUGUCACUAACAUAUAUUUAAGCUCAAUCUAUGGUAGACUGAUUUUGUGAUUGUUUUUUGCGAAUUUAAUUCUUCUAUUAAAUUAUUUUUAAUCAUUUCAUCCAUAUCAUAUAGUACUGCAUCAACAAUUGGUUGAUCGUGAUUACGAGAGAAGCUUGGAUUAUUGCAUCUGGUUACUAUAUAUGGUAUAUGACGACCCUCAAUUACUGCCACGUAUUUUGUGCUCAGACGAAGCUACAUUUAGUAGUGAUGAAAGAAAUAUGUGUGCCAUCAUAGCUCAUUUAAAAAGAAAACCAACACAAACAAGAAAUCAAAAAAUUGCGAAUGUAUGGCUAACAUUUCAAUAGUGGUUAGAGUAACUACAAAAAAUAUAAUUGCAAAGCAUCUCCAUGUUAAGGAACGUCUGCCGGCAGUAAUUACUAUAAAUAAUAAACAGACACUGAAGAUGCUUUGUCCGCAUUGCCAGCUUCAUCAGAAACCAGAUAAUUGUUUGAAACGUACUUUAAUAAUGGCAUGGGUAUAACCGAAUCUAUUAAUUACCAUCUAAACAAACUUGAAUUAGAAGUGGAUGAAGAAGAUCUGGCCAAUGGUUCCAUAAACCCAAAAUAUCGUACAGUACGAUAUUGGUACGACAAAUGGCGAAGUGUUAAUUUAGGAUCGCGUUUUGGCAAAGGAAUGCUAGAGAAAAUUCAAGACAAGCAGCCACAGUAUACAGGAAAAGGUGUUACUAUAAAGGUCGAAGAAGACCCUUUUACAGCUGUGAUAGUUACACAAAUCAUGAGAAGAGCGCAUAUUUUAUAUUGUGCUGGGGAUAUAGUAUUUGUAGAGAGCACGGAGUCCUGUGACGCGGAAAAUCAUUCUAUAACUUUUAUGUUAACAGUAUGCUCUGCAGGUGCUGUACCACUAGCAGUAAUUAUAAACAAGGGUCAAUCAAAACGCGACUACAUAGCAGGCUUUAAAAUGGUAAUAGAAGCUGUUGGCUAUUCGACUUUUAGGGGAAAAGGGUUUCCUGGGUGUUUUAUGACAGAUGAUAGCGAAGCAGAGAGACAAGCCCUCAAUACAGUUUUUCCACAAACACGUUUAUUACGUUGUUCUUUUUACAUCGCGCAAUCAGUUUGGAGAUGGCUAAUUGGAGAAAAAAACAUAACAUACCAAAAGAAAAUAGGGAAAAGUUGUAUUAUUGAUUUAGAAAUAUAUUAAACUUCAUCUCCAGAAAAUGCUUCCGAUGCUUUUCAUAAUGCAUCAAAUAACGACCUAUCACAAAAAUAUACUCACUGGGUAGAAUAUGUUAAUAACUAUUGGACCCGACGCGAAGACUGGUGUUAAGCUUAUCAUGAUGGCUAUACUCAUGGUCAUCAAACGAAUAACUUUUUGGAAGUAUAUGUACGCCUAUAUAAAGACAUAGUACUUUCUCGAUGUAAAGCUUACAACGUAGUUGCCCUAGUGGACUUUACUUGUACGACUAUGGAACAAUAUUACAUUCGACGUCUAAGAAAUUUUGCUAAUAGAGGGUACAGUGAAGGAAACCAUCUUUUAAAAUCACAACUGAAGAAAGUAAGCUAUCUAAAAAAGGAUAGCAUACAAAAAAUAGAUGAGUUCACAUACAAAGUUCCAAGUGAAAAAAUUAUCAAAUGCUACAGUAUGUAAAAUCAAGCAGGAGUUUAUUUAUAUUAUUACGGCCCAGAAGCAAAUGAUUCCGAAAUUCGUUACCAAAUCGUAUGCUUGGCAUGUCUAUAAAGUUAGCACAGCCAAAUGAGCACAAUCGAUUUUAAUUAACACAACAAUUUAGUGCUUUUUCUGUGCUAAUUAAUUGCGUAAUUUUUAAUUUUUGUGCUUUUACCAUUUCGCUGAAAUCGAUGGCUGUGUCAGCUUCCAAAAAAGCUAGCACAGCCAUACAAGAAAAAUUGUUUCUGGCACAUCGAUUUAUUGCUAAUUAUGUGCUUUCAGUAUAUGCUAUAAAAAACCAAUUUCGGAUCACGAUUGGUCAAAAAACCAAUCCCAGCCCGAUGAGGUGUAAGAGUAAAGUCCUUGAAAUUUUCAGUAUAAUCGAACCUAAAUAGUCGAUUUCUAACGAAUUAAUAAUUUGCUUUCAAAAUAUUUAUGCAGAGUUUUUGUUGCUCUCAACCCUUUAUUGCAAAAAUUCACCCCCAGCCCGACGUGGUGCAAGAGUAAAGUCCUCGAAAUUCUCAGUACAAUCGAACCUAAAUACUAGAUGUAGAGUUUUUGUUGCUCAACCCUUCAUGGCAAAAAACCACUUCUAGCCCGACGAGGUGCAAGACUAAAGUCCCCGAAAUUAUUAACAUAAUCGAACUUGAAUUGUCGAUUUUGAAUGCAUUAAUAAAUAAUUGCUCAAUUCUUCAUGUUAAAAAACGAUCUUCAGCUUGAUGACACUUUCGAUUGCUCGUUAAAACGGGCAUAUACAAUGAUACUUUCUUUAAAAACUAUAAAAAAAACUAAUUUUAAACGCUAUGCUUAUAUACAUGAACUUCAAUGUUCAUCUACUCGAGAAUUGGUUAGAAGAAGAAUCUGAAAAUAUUUGUAUAGAGCUAUGUAACACUAAAGAAUAUAUUAACCAAAUUUUAUUGAAUUUUAAGCAUUUUUAAAUUUUUUAAGUUUUUAACAUAGUUUACCAUAGCAACAUUGUAUUGACGGUCACCAAGCUCCUUGAUUUUUUGUUUGUCGCUCGUUUUUAAAUUCAACAAUACAAUUAAUUAUUAGUUACCGAUCAUUCCUUCUUCCUAUCGAGCAAUCCCAUCACAUCCCUAUGUUUGGCAUUGACGAGGAGGGGAUAUGAUACUCACGUUUAAAUUGAGAUCUAACGAAAAAGACAUCGGUAUAAAUAUUUUGGAAUUACAAAUAAGUUAAUGAGAACUCCAUACGAAUAGAACUAUAUUUGCAUUGUAUAUAUUGGGUAAUGCCGCCAAUGAUGACAAUAAAGUUAAAAAAAUGAGUAAUAUUCUAAAAUGUUGGGGCUCACUGAUAGGUAGUUUUCGUAAGGGUCUUUCUAAAAAUUGUGUAGAGAGAAUUAAUUUUCUUGAUAACAUAACGUCACAAAAGUAUUUUAACUCAGUAUAUAGAAAAUAGAUACGAUGGAUUAUCCCCUGACCCAUUCAUAAAUAACUAUAACUAUAAAUAACACAUUAUUGAUCAAUACGUCACAUAGUCUUAGAGAGUCACAUCACAAAAUGAGUUGGGCCAAGCAACGCUUGGUGAUUGAAAACUUGCGUUUAAAUGAGUUGACUUCGGCGUAAAUUCAAAGAUUUGGUGUAUAAAUUAGGGGAAUCUAUAUACCUUAACUAGUAAAAUUCUGAUGUCCUGCAUUUGAAUGAGGUAGACAGUCGUGUUUAGAGGAAGAAGCAGGUGGAGCACCUAUAAUCGGCACCACGCAAGAAAAUAAAAGAAGCCUGGAAAACUGUUGACAAUGGAUUCAACGCGAAAGUGUCUGUAGGGGGAAGUAUUCUGCAGCUCCAAGAUAAAUACAAAAACUAGAAAGAUGCAAAGACUAUUUGAUUUAUUUGAUGUUUUGCAUGUGAUCCGUUGUGUUAUCUUCUGUAGUGUCGAGCAGAAAAAGUAAGCAAAAGCUACAAUCAUAAAAAGGUCUUGGUCAGUGACGUAAAUAUACCUCGUAAACUAAAGAAUGCUGUUAACCAACAACUUUGAUCAAUAACUAAUCUGCUGAUAGAAGUAAAAAAUAAAUCUAAAAAAAUAUAUUACUGGAGAAGGAAACUAAAAUUAUGGAAAGAAACGGAGCAAGAGAGUUAGACGAGCACAAAAAAAUUACAAGAUGAUG
Diorhabda carinulata is the source of this 3906-nucleotide RNA transcript. RefSeq lists it as uncharacterized. Lineage: Eukaryota; Metazoa; Arthropoda; Insecta; Coleoptera; Chrysomelidae. The record is from RefSeq and is a predicted model, not a curated record. The transcript is spliced from 7 exons.